GCGGAUGUGGCGGAAUUGGCAGACGCGCAGGCUUCAGGUGCCUGUGGGCCUCGGCCCGUGGAGGUUCGACUCCUCUCAUCCGCA
RNAcentral lists this transfer RNA (84 nucleotides) under Planctomycetota bacterium. RNAcentral's name for it is "Planctomycetes bacterium tRNA-Leu". It matches the Rfam family "tRNA". Rfam says of the family: Transfer RNA (tRNA) molecules are approximately 80 nucleotides in length. RNAcentral also lists the same sequence under 1 other name. The record is from RNAcentral. Lineage: Bacteria; Pseudomonadati; Planctomycetota.